RNAcentral lists this unclassified non-coding RNA (254 nucleotides) under Hevea brasiliensis (rubber tree). Lineage: Eukaryota; Viridiplantae; Streptophyta; Magnoliopsida; Malpighiales; Euphorbiaceae. The record is from RNAcentral.
UUCCCCCUGUUCAUUUCAUUUCAAAAAAAAAAACCAAAGCCAAAAAAUAAUAAAUCAGUGGAGAGGUGAAAUCACAGAGAGGCUGAUUGAAAUAGUAAAUAUGGAAGUUUGGGUCUGGGUUUUUGGCGAUUUUACAGAAACUAUUACACACUGACGAGAUGAGAGAAGAGAGAGAGAGACGAUCUGUAAGAUGGCGGUUUGUGGGUUUUGGAAUUUUGGAAGUUGGGUAUGGCGAGUGUGAGCAUGUGAUUUUG